AUACUUACCUGGCAGGGGAGACACCAUGAUCAAGAAGGUGGUUCACCCAGGGUGAGGCUUAGCCAUUGCACUCUGGUUGUGCUGACCCCUGCGAAGUUUUGGGGAAGCUGUGGCCUAAUGGUUAGAGAGUCAGACUCGUAACCCAA
Molecule: small nuclear RNA, 146 nt
Organism: Sinocyclocheilus grahami
Lineage: Eukaryota; Metazoa; Chordata; Actinopteri; Cypriniformes; Cyprinidae
Gene: U1
Rfam family: U1 spliceosomal RNA
About the family: U1 is a small nuclear RNA (snRNA) component of the spliceosome (involved in pre-mRNA splicing). Its 5' end forms complementary base pairs with the 5' splice junction, thus defining the 5' donor site of an intron. There are significant differences in sequence and secondary structure between metazoan and yeast U1 snRNAs, the latter being much longer (568 nucleotides as compared to 164 nucleotides in human).
Source: Ensembl